Ziziphus jujuba (common jujube) is the source of this 976-nucleotide long non-coding RNA. RefSeq lists it as uncharacterized. The transcript has 2 exons. The record is from RefSeq and is a predicted model, not a curated record. NCBI's taxonomy places the organism in Eukaryota, Viridiplantae, Streptophyta, Magnoliopsida, Rosales, Rhamnaceae.
UAGCCUUUGCUCUUAGACGUUGAAAAACCAAGAAUGUUGUAAUUUGGGCAUGAUCAAAUUAAUAGAUUACAAUUAAUUAGUUAAUUAAAGUUGGAUUAUAUUAGGUUGAUUAAUUUUUUUUUUUUUUUUAGUUUUUUAGGUAAAUUAUUUUUUAAAAAAGUGUGAGAGGUUGAAAAUUUGUGAGUAGUGAGCAUUGGGUUGCAAGAUUGGAAUGGCCCAAGUAUAUGUUGGAUCAUGGAUCGGUUUUCUAGUGUCCAUACUUUUGUGGCUCCGACAAACUUCAUCCAUAUGCAUUAUAAUUGUAUAUACCAUAUACACAUAUUUCUUAGGUGUCAUGCCUAACAAAACAAAAACUGUACCUAAUACAUUCUUUAUUUUUGUAUCAUCCAACAAGAUGCAUCACAUUUGGGACCAUCGUUUUAUUAAAUUUAACAUAAUUGGACAACAUAUUAAGAACUGACUACUAGUUUGAAACCAGAUUAGAAACUCUUUGACACUUUGACAAGGUUAUAUGUUUAUUCCCAUGGUCGAUUAAUUUAUAGUCUGAACUUCUGCUGUCUAGCUACAUUUAUACCCAAGGAUUUCUCUUCUUCGCUCUCUAAAAGACUUUCAGGGUCAAAAUGGUGAGUAGGACUACCACAAGGAUACUGGUUUUUCCUUUCUGCUUUAUUCCAGACUGACAUAAGAAGUCAGAUAUCACAAAACCCAGUUGUAAAAAGGUUGACUGAAAAUCAUGAGUCUCUAGAAUUACAUAUGUUUGUGUGGCUUCAUAUGUACUGGAAUGACAGAAAUGGAUCAUGCUCAGCCCUUUAAAGUAAGGUCUUCAUGACACAGAUGAUAAAGCACAGAAAUAGAACUUCUUUGAGCAGAAAAAUGCAAGUUUCAUUAUACUAUGACAUUGAUUUCCUUCAUUAUUUAUGCUUUUAUCCUUACAAACACAUUAAAAAUAAUCCUGAGAUUAUUUUCUUAUUGUUCC